Molecule: ribosomal RNA, 251 nt
Filed under: uncultured bacterium
Lineage: Bacteria
Description: partial 16S ribosomal RNA
Rfam family: Bacterial small subunit ribosomal RNA
Source: RNAcentral
UACAGAGGUCUCAAGCGUUGUUCGGAUUCAUUGGGCGUAAAGGGUGUGUAGGUGGCGCCGUAAGUCGGGUGUGAAAUUUCGGAGCUUAACUCCGAAACUGCAUUCGAUACUGCCGUGCUUGAGGACUGGAGAGGAGACUGGAAUUUAGGUGUAGCGGUGAAAUGCGUAGAUAUCAUGAGGAAGACCAGUGGCGAAGGCGGGUCUCUGGACAGUUCCUGACGCUGAGGACGAAGGCAGGGGAGCAAACGGGG